UACGUAGGGGGCAAGCGUUGUCCGGAAUCAUUGGGCGUAAAGAGCGUGUAGGCGGCCCGAUAAGUCCGCUGUGAAAGUCCAGGGCUCAACCCUGGGAUGCCGGUGGAUACUGUCGGGCUCGAGUCCGGAAGAGGAGUGUGGAAUUCCUGGUGUAGCGGUGAAAUGCGCAGAUAUCAGGAGGAACACCUGCGGUGUAGACGGCUUUCUGGACCAUAACUGACGCUGAGAUACGAAAGCGUGGGUAGCAAACAGG
RNAcentral lists this ribosomal RNA (253 nucleotides) under uncultured bacterium. RNAcentral describes it as "partial 16S ribosomal RNA". It matches the Rfam family "Bacterial small subunit ribosomal RNA", at positions 524 to 776 of the family's 1533-position model. The record is from RNAcentral.